GCCAUGUGCACAGGGGGCAUUGAGAAAUAUCUCUGGACCAAUCACCUAAAAGAUGUGACUCUCCUCACUUGCCUGGACUCUGCUCAGAAUAGAGAUUUCGACACAUCAGUGGGUUCAACACCUAGGUGAUGCGGCUCUUCCUUCUUUUCUGGGCUCUUCCAUCAGAGAAGAUUGUGACAUUUUCUGAGCCCAGCACUCAAGUGAGGUGACUUGUCUCCCUGGACUCUCCCCACAGACAGCAUUGUGAAAUAUCUUUGGGAUCAUCACCUAGGCAUGGAAUCCCAGGGAAUAUCCUGCAUUCUCAGUGUCCAGCUGUCUGAUGCCACAGUUGUUUAUGAUGAUCGAGGACAACUACGUUUUUCUGAGGAGACUUACCACCUCAUGGCUGAGGAGUCUUGCAAUAAAGUGGCUGCUUCCAAUACCAGAUGGUAUCUCUACUGGGACAAAAUUAAAUUUCUGAAUUACUUUGAAGAAAAAUGAUGAUUGAGUGAUAUUGAGCAUUUCUACCUUAGAACAUGAUUUGGUUUUCCAUUUGUUUAUGCUGAUUUUCUUAUAUUUCAAGGACUUUUUAUGGUCUUUCUCAUAUGCUUAACAAAUGUUUGUUAGAUUUAUGUAUAGCUAGUUUAUUUUAUUUAGUCCUGUUAAAAAGUAAACUGUAGCACAAUACAAAUUUUAAAAGUUUUCUUGGCUGGGAAUGGUGGCUCAUAUCUGUGAUUCCAGCACUUUGAGAGGCCAGGUUGAGGGGAUUACUUGAGCCCAGAAGUUUGAGGCCAGCCUGGGAAAUAUAGUGAGACCCUGUCUCUACAAAAUACAAGAAGAAAUUAGCCAAGUGUGGUGGUGCAUGCCUGUAGUUGCAGCUACUCAUGGGGCUAAGGUGGGAGGAUGGCUUGAGCUCAGGAUGUAAGGCUGCAGAGAGCUUUGAUUCUGUGUACACACUCCAGCAUGGACAAUAGAGCAAGAACCCGUUUUAAAAAUAUUUUCUUGAGAAAGAAGCAACUUAUGAAUUGUGGAACACCAGAGCAAGAGAGGCUUUCCACUUCAACGGCAAAGUGUCAGAGGUAUGAUUGUAUUGAACAAAUGCAGGAACAAAAUAUUAAAAUUAUGUGAUUUGUUGCAGUUAUAAAAUUGUAUUUUUUGGUUUACCUUAUAGACAUAUAUUACUAUAAGAUUCUUGGUACUUUUGAUAAUUUAAGCUUAAGUUCUUUUUUUUUUUAAUGCAGGCAUUCACAAAAAAUAGCUCACGUUAUGUUUUGCUUAUUUGCAAGUCAACAAGAUGAGGUCCCUGAGGAUGUCUAACUGAUUCUGUCCACUCGGGAAUGUUUCGGACUUGGUCUUCCUUUUAAUUUACUUUAUAAAUCAUUUUGUAAUUUUUAUCUCCUACUCAUUCUGUAACAGGUAACACAACUGACCAGAAGAAAAACAGCCUAGAUCCUGAGCAUUCAGCCUGUGUCUUCACACAACAAACACCACCUGAGUCCCAUCAAAGCCUGUGUUGUUUCCCAACAUCCACCAUUGAGACAUAUUCCAGAGCAGCCUCUCAAAAUCACCUAAACAAGAUGGAACAAGAAGGUGGAGCCAGACGUACAGGGCGGAACAUGAAAGUGGACCAGGAGCGUGACCGCUGAAGCACAGCACCACAGGAAGAGGUUUAGGCCUCUGGAUGACUGCGGGCGGGCCUGACUCAUGUCAGGCCUUCCACAAGAAGUGGUGGAGCAGAGUCUUCCCCAACUCUCCCAGGGAAAGGGAGACUCCCUUUGCCGGUCUGCUAAGUAACCGGUGCCUUCCCAGGCACUGGCGUUACCGCUAGACCAAGGAGCCCUCUAGUGGCCAUGUCUGGGCAUAACUGAGGGCUCACACUCUUCUGGUCACUUAUCACCCUUCAGCUCCUAUCUCUGUAUGGCCUGGUCUUUCCUAGGUUAUAAUUGUAGAACGGACAUUAUUAUAAUAUUGGAAUAAAGAGUAAUGCUACAAACUAAUAAUAAUAAUAUUCAUAUAUAAUCAUAUCUAUAUUCUAUUUCUAGUAUGACUAUUCUUAUUCUCUAUAUUUUCUUUAUUAUACUGGAACAACUUGUGCUUUCUAUCUCUUGGCUCAGCACCUGGGUGGCUUGCUGCCCACAAGAAUAGCCCAUCCUAAUUUUUUGUUUUACAUCUACUAUAAAUCAAAUAGAUUUUGUUCCAUAUUUUAUAGUGGAAUUUAAGAUGAAACCCACAUUGUUAAAUAUGUGAGAUUGAUUAUAAGCUCAUCAAGGAGGUUUUUACUCAGUGAGGGAAUUCAGAGAACAUAAAGUUGCAAAGGCAGAAGCAAAUGUUUUGAAUGAAUUUUGAGAGACAAUACUAACAGAAGUGCUUCCCACUUUUAUGACUCAUAUGACUCAUAUGAUCUUUCUGUAGGAAAAACUGCCUCUAAUUGUAGACACUGGUUCAUAGCAGAUGCUAAAUGAACCAG
RNAcentral lists this long non-coding RNA (2446 nucleotides) under Homo sapiens (human). RNAcentral's name for it is "HSALNT0230286". Lineage: Eukaryota; Metazoa; Chordata; Mammalia; Primates; Hominidae. The record is from RNAcentral.